Maniola jurtina (meadow brown) is the source of this 85-nucleotide long non-coding RNA. RefSeq lists it as uncharacterized. NCBI's taxonomy places the organism in Eukaryota, Metazoa, Arthropoda, Insecta, Lepidoptera, Nymphalidae. The record is from RefSeq and is a predicted model, not a curated record. The transcript has 3 exons.
AAGGACAGGCAAACUUAAUUUAAUUUGGAACUGUCAAACCUCGUGGCUUUAGAUGCCAGUCUUGAGCAUAUUAUGUUUAAAUUUG